GAUGAACGCUGGCGGCGUGCCUAAUACAUGCAAGUCGAGCGAACAGACGAGGAGCUUGCUCCUCUGACGUUAGCGGCGGACGGGUGAGUAACACGUGGAUAACCUACCUAUAAGACUGGGAUAACUUCGGGAAACCGGAGCUAAUACCGGAUAAUAUAUUGAACCGCAUGGUUCAAUAGUGAAAGACGGUUUUGCUGUCACUUAUAGAUGGAUCCGCGCCGCAUUAGCUAGUUGGUAAGGUAACGGCUUACCAAGGCGACGAUGCGUAGCCGACCUGAGAGGGUGAUAGGCCACACUGGAACUGAGGCACGGUCCAGACUCCUACGGGAGGCAGCAGUAGGGAAUCUUCCGCAAUGGGCGAAAGCCUGACGGAGCAACGCCGCGUGAGUGAUGAAGGUCUUCGGAUCGUAAAACUCUGUUAUUAGGGAAGAACAAAUGUGUAAGUAACUAUGCACGUCUUGACGGUACCUAAUCAGAAAGCCACGGCUAACUACGUG
RNAcentral lists this ribosomal RNA (497 nucleotides) under uncultured bacterium. RNAcentral's name for it is "partial 16S ribosomal RNA". It matches the Rfam family "Bacterial small subunit ribosomal RNA", at positions 28 to 507 of the family's 1533-position model. The record is from RNAcentral.